Molecule: ribosomal RNA, 339 nt
Filed under: Triticum aestivum (bread wheat)
Lineage: Eukaryota; Viridiplantae; Streptophyta; Magnoliopsida; Poales; Poaceae
Description: partial small subunit ribosomal RNA
Source: RNAcentral
GCACGUGUGCCUUCAAAAUAUGUGGACAGGUUUAGGGGCCGCAAGCCAUAUCCCACACAAAAUGUCCUAGCUGCCGUGGAUUUCGAUCUUAGAUUCACGUAUGUUCUAGCAGGGUGGGAGGGAUCUGCUCAUGAUUCUGCUGUAUUGCAUGAUGCCCUAUCUCGUCCAAACGGUCUCAAAAUUCCAGAAGGAAAAUUUUAUUUGGCUGAUGCUGGGUAUGCCACCAGGCCGGGCAUAUUGCCACCCUAUCGAGGUGUUCGCUAUCAUCUACAGGAGUUCCAUGGUCCGAAUCGUCCAACCUGUCCAAAAGAGCUGUUGACCACCGUCAUUCCUCACUAA